GAAGGUGAUGAUGAUAAAGAUGA
This 23-nucleotide small RNA is filed under the name Arabidopsis thaliana (thale cress). RNAcentral's name for it is "ATSL188400". The record is from RNAcentral. Lineage: Eukaryota; Viridiplantae; Streptophyta; Magnoliopsida; Brassicales; Brassicaceae.